CCUACGGGUGGCAGCAGUGAGGAAUAUUGGUCAAUGGGCGCGAGCCUGAACCAGCCAAGUCGCGUGAGGGAAGACGGCCCUACGGGUUGUAAACCUCUUUUGCCGGGGAGCAACGGGCGCCACGUGUGGCGCCACUGAGGGUACCCGGAGAAAAAGCAUCGGCUAACUCCGUGCCAGCACCCGCGUUAAUACGGGUGAUGCGAGGUUUAUCCGGUUUUGUUGGGGUUAAGGGGUGCGUAGUGGGAGCGUUAAGUCAGUGGGAAAAGCGAGGGGCUCACCCCCUUCCCGCCAUUGAAACUGGCGCUCUUGAGUGGAAGAGAGGUAUGCGGAAUGCGUGGUGUAGCGGUGAAAUGCAUAGAGAUCACGCAGAACCCCGAUUGCGAAGGCAGCAUGCCGGCUUCCGACUGACGCUGAAGCACGAAAGCGUGGGGAUCGAACAGGAUUAGAUACCCUAGUAGUC
This 460-nucleotide ribosomal RNA is filed under the name uncultured bacterium. RNAcentral describes it as "partial 16S ribosomal RNA". It matches the Rfam family "Bacterial small subunit ribosomal RNA", at positions 338 to 795 of the family's 1533-position model. The record is from RNAcentral.